Molecule: ribosomal RNA, 253 nt
Filed under: uncultured bacterium
Lineage: Bacteria
Description: partial 16S ribosomal RNA
Rfam family: Bacterial small subunit ribosomal RNA
Source: RNAcentral
UACGAAGGGUGCAAGCGUUACUCGGAAUUACUGGGCGUAAAGGGCUCGUAGGUGGCCAACUAAGUCAGACGUGAAAUCCCUCGGCUUAACCGGGGAACUGCGUCUGAUACUGGAUGGCUUGAGUUCGGGAGAGGGAUGCGGAAUUCCAGGUGUAGCGGUGAAAUGCGUAGAUAUCUGGAGGAACACCGGUGGCGAAGGCGGCAUCCUGGACCGGCACUGACACUGAGGAGCGAAAGCCAGGGGAGCAAACGGG